GAUAAACCUGUUAGUUGUGAUACAUGUGGAAAAAGAUUUGCCUUCAAGUCACAUUUAAACAGACACAUGAGAAUUCACACAGGAGACAAACCUUUUAGUUGUGAUGCUUGUGGAAAAAGAUUUGCUUUCAAGUCAGCUUUAAACAAUCACAUGAGAAUUCACACAGGAGACAAACCUUUUAGUUGUGAUGCAUGUGGAAAAAGAUUUGCCUUCAAGUCAGUUUUAAACAAUCACAUGAGAAUUCACACAGGAGAGAAACCUUUUGGUUGUGAUGAAUGUGGAAAAACACUUUACCUUCAAGUCAAAUCUAAACCAGGAUGAUAGAAUUUACAGAAAAGACAAACCCAUUGCUAGUUAUGUUUGCCAGGGCCACCAUUCAGCCUAGGGCUUUAACAGAUUUAAAUGAGAGUGUUUCAUCGCACAUUGCUUGGUUUUAUGGAUUACAGAUUUUUUAACAUGUAGAGUCCAGCAUGUUCAACACUCUCUGACAAAACAAUUACCAGCACAAGCUCUCCUCAGGGGUGUGUUUUAUCUUCAUUGUUAUUCACCUUGUACACAAACUCCUGCAAAAGCACUUUCCCUAAUAGACAUUUAAUUAAAUAUGCUGACGACAUGUCCCUUUUAGACGACAAAGGAGAGGAGCAUGGACUAGUUCAGGCCUUUUCACUAAUUGGUGCAAAAAAUCCAACUUGCUAUUGACUUCAGGAAGCUUCAGUCAUUCUCCCCAACCAUCAUCGAUGGAGAUCAAAUUGAGACUAAUGCUAGAAGUACCUGGGCAUGGUUCUGGACUGCCAUUUAAGCUGGUGACCUAGAUGUGAAUCACCACAUCUCUCUAUCCGUCCAUUUGCGGUUCGACCCCUGGCGUCUUCAAAUAAAGUUUCUCACUUCCA
Girardinichthys multiradiatus is the source of this 890-nucleotide long non-coding RNA. RefSeq lists it as uncharacterized. The record is from RefSeq and is a predicted model, not a curated record. Lineage: Eukaryota; Metazoa; Chordata; Actinopteri; Cyprinodontiformes; Goodeidae. The transcript has 2 exons.